RNAcentral lists this non-coding RNA (178 nucleotides) under Oceanobacillus massiliensis. RNAcentral describes it as "6S / SsrS RNA". It matches the Rfam family "6S / SsrS RNA". From Rfam's summary of the family: E. coli 6S RNA was the first non coding RNA to be sequenced, but its function was unknown until recently. It consists of 184 nucleotides that fold into an extended hairpin structure with a large single-stranded internal bulge. The record is from RNAcentral. Lineage: Bacteria; Bacillati; Bacillota; Bacilli; Caryophanales; Bacillaceae.
AUCCUGAUGUGUUCGUCUGUUACAAGUAUUUUGACCGAACAACUAUAAAAAUGGGAACCUGAUUUUGUUUUUAUAGUGCGUACCUGCCUCAUGCUUGAGGAAGUACAAUAUCUAUAAAACAGGGUACCCACUUGCUUAAAGCGGGAUCAAAACUUUACGUCGACGGCACAAUCGGGAU